RNAcentral lists this transfer RNA (69 nucleotides) under Tectus pyramis. RNAcentral describes it as "tRNA-Cys". It matches the Rfam family "tRNA". From Rfam's summary of the family: Transfer RNA (tRNA) molecules are approximately 80 nucleotides in length. Their secondary structure includes four short double-helical elements and three loops (D, anti-codon, and T loops). The record is from RNAcentral. Lineage: Eukaryota; Metazoa; Mollusca; Gastropoda; Trochida; Tegulidae.
GGUCUGGUAGUUGAGUAGUUUACAAUAUCGAAUUGCAAAUUCGGGGGUGUGGUUUAUCCACCGAGACUU